This 254-nucleotide ribosomal RNA is filed under the name uncultured bacterium. Its description in RNAcentral is "partial 16S ribosomal RNA". It matches the Rfam family "Bacterial small subunit ribosomal RNA", at positions 524 to 776 of the family's 1533-position model. The record is from RNAcentral.
CACGUAGGGUGCGAGCGUUGUCCGGAAUUAUUGGGCGUAAAGAGCUCGUAGGCGGUGUGUCGCGUCGUCCGUGAAAACCUGCAGCUUAACUGUGGGCGUGCGGUCGAUACGGGCAUCACUGGAGUUCGGCAGGGGAGACUGGAAUUCCUGGUGUAGCGGUGAAAUGCGCAGAUAUCAGGAGGAACACCGGUGGCGAAGGCGGGUCUCUGGGCCGAUACUGACGCUGAGGAGCGAAAGCGUGGGGAGCGAACAGG